CGGGUGAGGAACGCGUAGGUAAUCUACCCUUUGGCGGGGGACAACAUUCCGAAAGGAAUGCUAAUACCGCGUAAGACCACGCUCACUACGGUGAAAGUGGUUAAAGGUGCCUCAAAGCACCACCAAAGGAUGAGCCUGCGUCCCAUCAGCUUGUUGGUAAGGUAAUGGCUUACCAAGGCGAAGACGGGUAGCUGGUCUGAGGGGAUGAUCAGCCACACUGGCACUGGAACACGGGCCAG
RNAcentral lists this ribosomal RNA (239 nucleotides) under uncultured bacterium. RNAcentral's name for it is "partial 16S ribosomal RNA". It matches the Rfam family "Bacterial small subunit ribosomal RNA", at positions 103 to 334 of the family's 1533-position model. The record is from RNAcentral.